Molecule: ribosomal RNA, 330 nt
Filed under: uncultured bacterium
Lineage: Bacteria
Description: bacterial SSU rRNA
Rfam family: Bacterial small subunit ribosomal RNA
Source: RNAcentral
CGCGUAGGUGGUAGUGUAAGUCUGGGGUGGAAUCCCAGGGCUUAACCCUGGAACUGCCUUGGAAACUGUAUUACUUGAGUCAGUGAGGGGAGGGUAGAAUUCCUGGUGUAGCGGUGAAAUGCGUAGAUAUCAGGAGGAAGGCCUGUGGCGAAGGCGGCCCUCUGGCGCUGGACUGACGCUGAGGCGCGAAAGCGUGGGGAGCAAACAGGAUUAGAUACCCUGGUAGUCCACGCCCUAAACGGCGGGCACUAGGUGUAGGGCUCGUAAGGGUUCUGUGCCGAAGGGAAACCAUUAAGUGCCCCGCCUGGGGAGUACGGCCGCAAGGUUGAA